UCUGGCGGCAGUAGCGCGGUGGUCCCACCUGACCCCAUGCCGAACUCAGAAGUGAAACGCCGUAGCGCCGAUGGUAGUGUGGGGUCUCCCCAUGCGAGAGUAGGGAACUGCUAGAC
Molecule: ribosomal RNA, 116 nt
Filed under: Escherichia coli
Lineage: Bacteria; Pseudomonadati; Pseudomonadota; Gammaproteobacteria; Enterobacterales; Enterobacteriaceae
Also listed under: 3 other names
Source: RNAcentral